UCGGAUCGCAGGCUGCAACCCGCCUGCGUGAAGUUGGAAUCGCUAGUAAUCGCGGAUCAGCAUGCCGCGGUGAAUACGUUCCCGGGCCUUGUACACACCGCCGUCACACCAUGAGAGUCGGGAACACCCGAAGUCCGUAGCCUAACUGCAAAGGGGGCGCGGCCGAAGGUGGGUUCGAUAAUUGGGGUGAAGUCGUAACAAGGUAAC
Molecule: ribosomal RNA, 207 nt
Filed under: uncultured bacterium
Lineage: Bacteria
Description: partial 16S ribosomal RNA
Rfam family: Bacterial small subunit ribosomal RNA
Source: RNAcentral